AGCGGCGGACGGGUGACUAAUGCCUAGGAAUCUGCCUGGUAGUGGGGGACAACGUUUCGAAAGGAACGCUAAUACCGCAUACGUCCUACGGGAGAAAGCAGGGGACCUUCGGGCCUUGCGCUAUCAGAUGAGCCUAGGUCGGAUUAGCUUGUUGGUGAGGUAAUGGCUCACCAAGGCGACGAUCCGUAACUGGUCUGAGAGGAUGAUCAGUCACACUGGAACUGAGACACGGUCCAGACUCCUACGGGAGGCAGCAGUGGGGAAUAUUGGACAAUGGGCGAAAGCCUGAUCCAGCCAUGCCGCGUGUGUGAAGAAGGUCUUCGGAUUGUAAAGCACUUUAAGUUGGGAGGAAGGGCAGUCAGCGAAUACCUGGUUGUCUUGACGUUACCGACAGAAUAAGCACCGGCUAACUCUGUGCCAGCAGCCGCGGUAAUACAGAGGGUGCAAGCGUUAAUCGGAAUUACUGGGCGUAAAGCGCGCGUAGGUGGUUUGUUAAGUUGGAUGUGAAAGCCCCGGGCUCAACCUGGGAACUGCAUCCAAAACUGGCAAGCUAGAGUAUGGUA
RNAcentral lists this ribosomal RNA (563 nucleotides) under Pseudomonas sp. RNAcentral's name for it is "bacterial SSU rRNA". It matches the Rfam family "Bacterial small subunit ribosomal RNA", at positions 94 to 653 of the family's 1533-position model. Lineage: Bacteria; Pseudomonadati; Pseudomonadota; Gammaproteobacteria; Pseudomonadales; Pseudomonadaceae. The record is from RNAcentral.